RNAcentral lists this ribosomal RNA (253 nucleotides) under uncultured bacterium. Its description in RNAcentral is "partial 16S ribosomal RNA". It matches the Rfam family "Bacterial small subunit ribosomal RNA", at positions 524 to 776 of the family's 1533-position model. The record is from RNAcentral.
UACGGAGGGUGCAAGCGUUAUCCGGAUUCACUGGGUUUAAAGGGUGCGUAGGUGGGUCGGUAAGUCAGUGGUGAAAUCUCCGGGCUUAACCCGGAAACUGCCAUUGAUACUAUAGAUCUUGAAUAUCCUGGAGGUGAGCGGAAUAUGUCAUGUAGCGGUGAAAUGCUUAGAUAUGACAUAGAACACCAAUUGCGAAGGCAGCUCACUACGGGAUUAUUGACACUGAGGCACGAAAGCGUGGGGAUCAAACAGG